The sequence is a transfer RNA, 102 nucleotides long. It matches the Rfam family "tRNA". Rfam says of the family: Transfer RNA (tRNA) molecules are approximately 80 nucleotides in length. Their secondary structure includes four short double-helical elements and three loops (D, anti-codon, and T loops). Further hydrogen bonds mediate the characteristic L-shaped molecular structure. tRNAs have two regions of fundamental functional importance: the anti-codon, which is responsible for specific mRNA codon recognition, and the 3' end, to which the tRNAs corresponding amino acid is attached (by aminoacyl-tRNA synthetases). tRNAs cope with the degeneracy of the genetic code in two manners: having more than one tRNA (with a specific anti-codon) for a particular amino acid; and 'wobble' base-pairing, i.e. permitting non-standard base-pairing at the 3rd anti-codon position.
GCGCCGUUGGUCCAUUGGUAGGAUUCCUGCCUUCCACUAUAAAACUGUCCCUUUAAGGCAACGUGCAAGCAUGAGGACCGGGUUCGAUUCCCGGACGGCGCA